GGCAGGGUUGCCCAGUGGUGGAGCACUUGCCUGGCACGCAAGAGGCUCUGGGUUCCGUCCUCGGCACUGCAG
RNAcentral lists this transfer RNA (72 nucleotides) under Heterocephalus glaber (naked mole-rat). It matches the Rfam family "tRNA". From Rfam's summary of the family: Transfer RNA (tRNA) molecules are approximately 80 nucleotides in length. Their secondary structure includes four short double-helical elements and three loops (D, anti-codon, and T loops). The record is from Rfam by way of RNAcentral. Lineage: Eukaryota; Metazoa; Chordata; Mammalia; Rodentia; Bathyergidae.